CCUGUAUUCUCCAGGUAAGGGAAGGGACUUGCCCAGUGUCACACAGCCAGGCAGUGGCAAAUUGGGUUAGAAUUCAGGUCUCUUCUAUGCUAUUUUCCUUCCACUAUAUCAUAGACACCUUUUUGCAAUUGUUAUUUUAAAUUAGGUCAAAUGCCUAAUGUGUAUGCUAAGUAGUCCUUAUUACAAACAUAUAAAGCACACACUUUACAGCUAGAAGGAGCCUCAGUAACAGUCUAAUCCCACUCAUUUCAUUUUACAGAUGAGGAAAACAAUGAGUUUGUUUACCUAAGCCUGUUUAGAAGUGCAUCCCAAUCAGUUGACUGGAUUAUACAACCAACAAUAUAGCUAUUAACAGCCCAGCUUUAUAAUGACCUAUCACUUGGUUUAAGCUCAAGUUGAAACCACGCUUCUGCAUAUCUCAGUCCUGUCACCAGGCCCUGCACCACUUUCAAUCUUGCUCUUUAAUUUGAUCUGUCUUCACUUGUGUGUGACUAGUUUUCCCCUUGGCCCAAACUGCCAAGGUGGCUUUCAGGGUCAUGGGUGUGAGGGAAAUUAGUUGUGGAUUGGAAAGGUGUGCUAUAUAAGAAAGAAAUGAGUGCUGGGGAUUUAGCUCAGUGGUUUCACCGCCUACUGCGCAAGGGUAAGGACCCGAGUUCGAUCCCUGGUACCCCCCCCCCCAAAAAGGAAAGAAAUGAGAUGUUAUCAAGAGCUGUGGAGGGGCUGAGAUUUUACCCUACUUGCAAGCUAACAAGUGAGUCUUCCACAGCUUUAUGGCUGCUGGCAGAAGACACAAGCCUUCUGAAUGCAUCACAAACAAAGGUCUUCUUUACUCACAACAAUAGCAGUAGGUAGAAUGUUGUCAUUUGCUUGUGCUUGUUUUCCCAAGCCCCAGUUCCCAAUGUAAAGAGGGCCUGGUGACAUCUGAACAUACCGUAAAGCACAUCACGAGAGAGGAGCCCUGGGAUUAGAGAAUCAGAAUCUUAAACACCAGACACAAACGUGGAGUAUCAUGAUUGUCUUUAGAAGCAUGGCGGACAUCUUUUCUACUCAUUGGUUGGUUCCCUUAAGCAGAACACACUAAAGAGUUACUUCUAUUACAAAACUGAAAUGGGCAUCCCUUCCCCCUUCCACCACAGUAGUGUGAUGUAAUAAAAAUUUCAGAGAAUUGUAAUUAUCGAGUCUAAAUAUGCACUUAUUUCUUAAAGCAAUAUUGCUUUUCUUACAUGGUACAUUUUGUAUUUAUAAUGUGCCAUUAAUGUCUCAGUAGCAAUUAGAACACAGCAACAGCUGCAACGUGGAGGAUUUCACGUUGCUAGGAGAGCUUGGAUCUUCACGCUCCCAGUCUUUGGGUGAAUGUGUGGCUUCCCGUGAGGUAUUUACACAGACCUGGGGAUCAUUUUCCAGAUGUCCUUUUCCA
This 1417-nucleotide long non-coding RNA is filed under the name Heterocephalus glaber (naked mole-rat). Its description in RNAcentral is "lncRNA (ENSHGLG00100035948.1)". Lineage: Eukaryota; Metazoa; Chordata; Mammalia; Rodentia; Bathyergidae. The record is from RNAcentral.